This 253-nucleotide ribosomal RNA is filed under the name uncultured bacterium. Its description in RNAcentral is "partial 16S ribosomal RNA". It matches the Rfam family "Bacterial small subunit ribosomal RNA", at positions 524 to 776 of the family's 1533-position model. The record is from RNAcentral.
UACAGAGGUCUCGAGCGUUGUUCGGAUUCAUUGGGCGUAAAGGGUGCGUAGGUGGCGUGGUAAGUCGGGUGUGAAAUCCCGGGGCUCAACCCCGGGACUGCAUUCGAUACUGCUGUGCUUGAGGACUGGAGAGGAGACUGGAAUUUACGGUGUAGCAGUGAAAUGCGUAGAGAUCGUAAGGAAGACCAGUGGCGAAGGCGGGUCUCUGGACAGUUCCUGACGCUGAGGCACGAAGGCCAGGGGAGCAAACGGG